RNAcentral lists this ribosomal RNA (253 nucleotides) under uncultured bacterium. RNAcentral describes it as "partial 16S ribosomal RNA". It matches the Rfam family "Bacterial small subunit ribosomal RNA", at positions 524 to 776 of the family's 1533-position model. The record is from RNAcentral.
AACGUAGGGGGCUAGCGUUGCCCGGAUUCACUGGGCGUAAAGCGGGUGUAGGCGGUUCUUUAAGUCGGAUGUGAAAUCCAGCGGCCCAACCGCUGAAUUGCAUCCGAUACUGGGGAACUUGAGGACGGUAGAGGUCGGUGGAAUAUCCGGUGUACCGGUGAAAUGGACAGAUAUCGGAUGGAACACCAGUGGCGAAGGCGGCUACCUGGACCGGUUCUGACGCUGAGGAGCGAAAGCGUGGGGAGCGAACAGG